AUCUGUUUGCACAAGCCUCUGAGAGGGAUGAAGAUAUUGUUUUCUUUGAUCAGAUUAUGCCGGUAAAGGUUUUCUGGUUUACCCUAUAGGGCUUGUAGCUCAGUUGGUUAGAGCGCGCGCUUGAUAAGCGUGAGGUCGGAGGUUCAAGUCCUCCCAGGCCCACCAGUUACACGAUGCUAAAAGUUGCUAUAUUGGGAGAGUUGAUAAUCCCUUACAGGAAAUUAUUGCCCUUAAUAAAACUUUAUUUUCUAAAAGCAUUCAGAGCUGACAUAGAAUAGAGCUGACAUAGAAUUGAGAAUCUGACAUAGGAAUUAUUGAAAUUGUUUUGGAAUUAUUGAAAUUGUUUUCUAUCAUUUUAAAAGGCUAAAAUAUUCUGUCUCUAUUUUUAAAAUAGCAUCAGGUGUUUUGUAAGAGUGUGAAGUUUUUAAGUGUGAGGUUUUUUAUAUUUUAGUGUGAGGUUUUUAUAAGGGUAUGACGUGAGAGCGUUUUGACCUGUUUUAGGGGCCGUAGCUCAGCUGGGAGAGCACCUGCUUUGCAAGCAGGGGGUCGUCGGUUCGAUCCCGUCCGGCUCCACCAUAAUUUGGUUCAUCAUUAUUGUUAGAAGAAUAGUUAUUGCAAGAGAUUGAGAGAUCUCUUUGCUUGUUCUAUUGAAAUUGUGAAGAAGAAGGUAUAUUCAGACGUUUUUUGCUUGAACUCAUUCUUAUGAAAGAGAUUUUUCUUAUGAAAGAGAUUUUUAAGAAUGGAUAGCUUAAAAAGAAGAAUGGAUGGCUUAAAAAGGUGGCUUAAAAAGAUGGCUGUUUUUAAAUGAAAAUAGUUAUUUUUACGCUCUUUUGACGAUUGUUACAACAUUAUACGAUUAAAACAUUAUACGAUAAUGAUGAUAACGAUAAUAAAAAGAGCUUUCAUUAAUAAAAAGAGCUUUCAUUAAUAUUAAAGAGCUUUCAUUAGUGCUAAAGAGCUUUCAUUAAUAAUACAGAGCUUUCAUUGAGCUUUCAUUGAAGAAUCAUUUUGAGCAAA
Molecule: transfer RNA, 1017 nt
Filed under: uncultured Bartonella sp.
Lineage: Bacteria; Pseudomonadati; Pseudomonadota; Alphaproteobacteria; Hyphomicrobiales; Bartonellaceae
Description: partial 16S-23S ribosomal RNA intergenic spacer
Rfam family: tRNA (bases 89-162)
Source: RNAcentral